Molecule: unclassified non-coding RNA, 239 nt
Filed under: fungal sp.
Lineage: Eukaryota; Fungi
Description: partial internal transcribed spacer region
Rfam family: Eukaryotic small subunit ribosomal RNA (bases 1-46)
Source: RNAcentral
AAGUCGUAACAAGGUUUCCGUAGGUGAACCUGCGGAAGGAUCAUUCACAAUAAGUGUUCAAUGGCACUUUUAAAAUCCAUUACCCACCUUGUGUGCAAUGUAAGGAGGAGGGGGGCUGUCAGACUUUUUUUGGGUCUGGCUUCCCUCUUUCAUUAUACAUACCCAAUCUUUUCUUGUUGUCUACUUUUUGAGUAUAAAAAACUCGAAUACAACUUUCAACAACGGAUCUCUUGGCUCUC